RNAcentral lists this ribosomal RNA (427 nucleotides) under uncultured bacterium. RNAcentral's name for it is "partial 16S ribosomal RNA". It matches the Rfam family "Bacterial small subunit ribosomal RNA", at positions 355 to 774 of the family's 1533-position model. The record is from RNAcentral.
UGGGGAAUAUUGCACAAUGGGCGCAAGCCUGAUGCAGCCAUGCCGCGUGUAUGAAGAAGGCCUUCGGGUUGUAAAGUACUUUCAGCGAGGAGGAAGGCGUUGUGGUUAAUAACCGCAACGAUUGACGUUACUCGCAGAAGAAGCACCGGCUAACUCCGUGCCAGCAGCCGCGGUAAUACGGAGGGUGCAAGCGUUAAUCGGAAUUACUGGGCGUAAAGCGCACGCAGGCGGUCUGUCAAGUCGGAUGUGAAAUCCCCGGGCUCAACCUGGGAACUGCAUCCGAAACUGGCAGGCUAGAGUCUUGUAGAGGGGGGUAGAAUUCCAGGUGUAGCGGUGAAAUGCGUAGAGAUCUGGAGGAAUACCGGUGGCGAAGGCGGCCCCCUGGACAAAGACUGACGCUCAGGUGCGAAAGCGUGGGUAGCAAACA